UGAUACUUAGUGGCGGACGGGUGAGUAAUGCUUAGGAAUCUGCCUAGUAGUGGGGGAUAACUUGGGGAAACCCAAGCUAAUACCGCAUACGACCUACGGGUGAAAGGGGGCUUUUAGCUCUCGCUAUUAGAUGAGCCUAAGUCGGAUUAGCUGGUUGGUGGGGUAAAGGCCUACCAAGGCGACGAUCUGUAGCUGGUCUGAGAGGAUGAUCAGCCACACUGGGACUGAGACACGGCCCAGACUCCUACGGGAGGCAGCAGUGGGGAAUAUUGGACAAUGGGCGAAAGCCUGAUCCAGCCAUGCCGCGUGUGUGAAGAAGGCCUUUUGGUUGUAAAGCACUUUAAGUGGGGAGGAAAAGCUUAUGGUUAAUACCCAUAAGCCCUGACGUUACCCACAGAAUAAGCACCGGCUAACUCUGUGCCAGCAGCCGCGGUAAUACAGAGGGUGCAAGCGUUAAUCGGAAUUACUGGGCGUAAAGCGCGCGUAGGUGGUUAUUUAAGUCAGAUGUGAAAGCCCCGGGCUUAACCUGGGAACUGCAUCUGAUACUGGAUAACUAGAGUAGGUGAGAGGGGAGUAGAAUUCCAGGUGUAGCGGUG
This 596-nucleotide ribosomal RNA is filed under the name Moraxella catarrhalis. Its description in RNAcentral is "bacterial SSU rRNA". It matches the Rfam family "Bacterial small subunit ribosomal RNA", at positions 86 to 683 of the family's 1533-position model. Lineage: Bacteria; Pseudomonadati; Pseudomonadota; Gammaproteobacteria; Moraxellales; Moraxellaceae. The record is from RNAcentral.